RNAcentral lists this ribosomal RNA (443 nucleotides) under uncultured bacterium. RNAcentral describes it as "partial 16S ribosomal RNA". It matches the Rfam family "Bacterial small subunit ribosomal RNA", at positions 338 to 795 of the family's 1533-position model. The record is from RNAcentral.
CCUACGGGAGGCAGCAGUGGGGAAUAUUGGGCAAUGGAGGCAACUCUGACCCAGCAACGCCGCGUGAAUGAUGAAGGUCUUCGGAUUGUAAAGUUCUGUGAUGGGGGAUGAACACAAUGACGGUACCCCAAUAGCAAGCCACGGCUAACUACGUGCCCGCAGCCGCGGUUAUACGUAGGUGGCAAGCGUUAUCCGGAAUGACUGGGGGUAAAGGGUGCGUAGGUGGUUUAGUAAGUUGGCGGGGUAAUUCCGGGGCUCAACCCCGGCGCUACCGCCAAAACUAUUAGGCUAGAGUGCAGGAGGAGUAAGUGGAAUGCGUGGUGUAGCGGUGGAAUGCAUAGAUAUUAGGAGGAACAUCAGGGGCGAAGGCGACAUACUGGCGUGUAACUGACACUGAGGCACGAAAGCGUGGGGAGCAAACAGGAUUAGAUACCCUGGUAGUC